AUAUUUUUUGCACAAUCGGGUUUUGGCAGCAGAGGUAGGAGGGCCAUCUGGAACACCAGGCGGAAACUUGGGAUUUCUUGCCGGACGAGCAGGGACUGCAUCACCCACGUUCAACAUCUGCGAAGCAGAUUUAAUGCCGCCAGGAACAAAAUGUGCAAAAUGGCAUCCCUCGCCAAAGGGGCAACCAGCAGUGCUGAAAAACUUGUUGCAUGGCUUCAGUUUGCUUCCUAUACCAGUCUCCGAUUCUUUGACUCGCUUCGAAGCCGCGCCGUUGCUGGCGGCGGCGGCGGCAUCGGACCUCCCCCUCUUGCGAGCAUCCAUAGCUGUGGCG
This 331-nucleotide unclassified non-coding RNA is filed under the name Hevea brasiliensis (rubber tree). The record is from RNAcentral. Lineage: Eukaryota; Viridiplantae; Streptophyta; Magnoliopsida; Malpighiales; Euphorbiaceae.